UGCUGAGACUGACACGGUCCUCCAGGCUCUGCUGUGUACUACAGAUAGGAAGAUCUGAAAUCAGCCUUGUUGGGUCAGAUGACCGAGAUGAAAUGGGAAGAGAGGGUGCAAUGCAUCAUCUUACUCCUCCUGCGGGUGACCUCACCCACGGUGACCCUGGGAGGGUGGAUUCCCACCGGCCCUGGUGUCCAAAAGUACCAGGGCGUAGUGUCCUGCUCACCCUGCCCUCCCACACUCCAGUGACCUGCAGUGGCCCCGAGGCAAUGCCCACAUGGAUCUGUGCUAGGUCCCUUCUCCAAGGCACCCUUUCCCGGUCCCUUCUGAGCUCCCCACCCUUGUCCUUCUCCUGGGACUGGAAGCUGGGGAGGCCCUGCAGGUGUCCUCAAGCUAGGGUGACCUCUCCCUCCAUCCAUCCGCACCUGGAGCUGCCUGGGGCUCGGAAGUGCUUUUGUGCAAUGGGGCUCAAGCCCACUUCACGGGCUGAUUUCCUGAGUGCUUGAGAAGAUCAAAGCGGAUCGGUGGAAGAAAGGGGGGUGAAGCCUGGGAAAGCCCAGGUGGGGAGGUUGCUCCCCGGCUCCUCUCGUCCCGAUGGCUUCUGUUCCCGAUGCUACAGGACUCAGGCGGCACAAUGAAUUGAGCUGUGAAUGUUUACCCAAGGAGCAUUUAUUAUUGUUUUUUAGAUGGGGCAGAUUCUCCUGCCUCAGUCUCCUGAGUGCUGUGACCACAAGCAUCAUGCUACCAAACCCAGCCCAGGGACCAUUGAUCGAGGUUCUAUUUUAAGUUCCAGGAUUAACAGCCACCAAUGACCAGGAAUAACCCUUCCUUAACCCUGCAUCGAGUUGGAGAGAACUUGAAGGCUACUGGAGGAGAGACCAUUACGUAACCAGACUGGUGACACAGAGGCAGAAGCUGCUCACAUGGUGUCAUGGGUUGGGGCCCCGAAGCUUCCUAAAGGCCAGCUGUGGAGCAGGCGGGUGACACUCAGCGGGUGUCUGUGACUGCUGUGCGUGUGAUAGGCUGAAAAGGGGGAGAGAUAUAGCUGUGACCGCGAGUGGAGACAGAAAGGGCAGCGGCCUCUGGGGAUACCCAGCUCCUCAACGCUGCGCACCAUGUGUGGUGCCCAAGGCGACACCCCAUUCCAUCUUUACGACUCCCUGAGGGUCCGAGUGACUCAGCCAGGAUGUGGCAGCAUUGAACCAUCGUGUCUGAGCUCCCUGGACUGAUCACGGUGGCCUCUGGCCACCCGGCCCAGUCCUGAAUGGCCCUUUCUUCCCAGAGACACCAGGAGGAAGAAGCAGGUACCUACUUCCCACAAGGACCAUGAGCAUUACUACUGCAAAUGUGACUGCUAAAUACAAAAAAAGAUGAAGACAAAAGAACUUCACCCACUGGGGUUCCUUCAGGUAACUCACGAGGACGCGCUUUGUGGUAGAUGCAAAUGUGGUAAAUCGGUUACUGACGGUUGGAUUGAGGGGAAAUUUUGACCUUAUCCACUAACUCAACAAAUGCUUCCACUUCAAUUUCAGAAUGAUUGUUCUGGUUUCUAUGGUAACAACAUGCAACAGGAGGUGCAGGCUGAGGCAGGAGAGUGUCCUUGGCUGGCAUCUCUCCUGUGUCAAGGGCCUGUGCCCUGCUCAUUGUUAAUGUCCUGUUAGUGGGCACUGGAUGGAUACCCAAGGACACUUUUGUAGACACCAGGAAUGAAUCCAUGAAUGGAUAGUAUCAGCCUCGGCCAGGAAUGAAGUGGCCCUGCUCUGUCUUCCUGGGCCGGAGCUUCCCUCAGACCCUGAAUGGGAGGAGAACCACACUCCGCAUCCAUUGACUGUGUCCCCCUGGGCCAUUCAGCUGGGGUCCGAGUCCCUCACCGUGGGUCUGUUCUCAUGGUGCCCAGGCGUGGGGGUUACAGCUCUGGGCCAUGGUAGGAAUUUCAGAUCAGCUCAAGGUCAUGUGCUGGGGCAGGGAAGUAGAGCCAGGCAUGGAGAUGCAUGCUUAGAAUCCCAGCUUUCUAGGAGGCUGACGCAGGAAGAUUGCAAGUUCAAUCCUAGCCUGGGCAACUUAGUGACUUUGGGGACCCCGUCUCAAAAUAAAUAAUUUAAAAUGAACUGGGGCUGGAGCUCAGGACAAAGCAUGGUAGUUUGGUUCUGACUCUGACCUUCACUCAAAACCUGACCUUGCCCAUGGAUUUACCUGUCUGGGCCUUUCUUAUUUAUAAACUAAUAUGGGGCGGUGUGAGCCUUCAGUACUCGGGAGGCUGAGGCAGGAGAGUCACCAUGAAUUCAAGGCCAACCUGGGCUACACAGCGAGACUCUAUCAAAAAAACAACCCAAAAAUGAUGCAAAUAAGCUGCUUCAUUAGUUAGAAAGAACUCAUGGAAGCAAAGAACCACUCGCAGCUCGCACUGUCUACUCACACCUCAGUUUAGGACGGAAGAGCAACGCACCGCGGAGACCCGCACUGUGCGGAUGUGAAACGUGUCCGCCCAAUUGCCGUCCAGAUUAAUGGAAGAAUUUAGAAAGCCAGGUUUUGUCCGUGUAAAAUAGAACAGCAGCUUUAAGAAGGUAUCUGACUAGGAGCUUUCCUCAGCUCGCUUUAAGGCCAUCUCACUCACUGUUCCACAGCAGGGUUGUGUAUUAGAACAGCCCGAGAAACUUUAAAAAGACUCUGGUGGUGAGAUUGCCUCUCAGGUGCUUCCCUGCAUCCUCAGGGCUGGGACCCGGGCCUCGAUGGCUCGUAAACAUCCCUAGCUGAGUGCAGUGCACAGCCACUAGCAUCUUUACCUGGGCUGCGAUGCUCGUGGAGACCUGGACAGCGCGAGUUACUGGAGGAGACUGGUCCCAACAUGGCAGCAAUUUAAAAAUGGAUCCUUUGGAAAAAUUCCUUCAGUUAAUAAUUUAAAAGCUUAGGUAUAGUAAGAGCGAAAACUAUACUGCAAGUCCAUUGUGUCGUUCUGAAUUCUCUUUUGUUUGUUUUCGAGACAGGGUCUCUCUUUGCAAUUUGGGCUGGACUCAGACUCUCAUUGAUCCUCCUGCCUCAGCCUCCCGAGUGCUGGGAUUGCAGGUGUGCACCACCAUGCUUUGAAUUCUUUACUAAGAAAAGCUAUCCUCUCACAUGGAAUUUAGUGGUUUCUUCUCGCCCUAACCUAGCUAUUCCUGAGCUCAGUAAAGCAAUAGAGGAUGGAAGGAGGUGCGACCUGCAGGCUGGAAGCUGGGCUGGGAUAGCACAGGUGCAGCUGGACCCGCUCUUUUCCUGCCCACCCCUGAGAAUUCAGUUCUUUCUCAGCAGAAAGGAAUUCAUAAAUCCCUGCCCUGCCUUCCCACCAGCAGUGUGACCUCACCAGGGUGAUAAAUUGCUGUUAUCAAAACAGACCCUGUGCCUCCCAGGCAGUGAAAGGUCUAAAGGCAAAGUGUGAAGUCUACGUGCUGAUGAGCACAGCCAGGGUGAAAAGUCCAGCUCUUGGGACCUCAGAUCUUAGGGGAGGGGAUUCUUCAAACCUUUCUGACUGUGCAGAGGUGCAGAAGUGCAGAUGAAAGGGUGACAGCGUGACACCAUCAAGAGCAAACGCCUAAUAAUGGUAACCAUUUUUGAUCACCUGGUACUCUGUUUUUGCAUCAUGUACUGUGUCCAUCCUUCUGUUCUAACUGACUCUGUUUUGCUGUGUCACAUUUGGUUUUUUUCUCUUCAAAAAAAAAAAAAAAGCUGUAAGAACUGUGGGAGUAAUAAAACCCCAAAAGUAUAAUUGUUAUUGUAAAAAGAGAGGAAAAGAAAGUGAUCUAAAGGAUAUAACCGCAUGUAUAUUUAAGUGUGUAGGAUAGAAAACCAUAUUACUGAGUUUUUGUUGUAUCAUUGAACAGAACCGUCUGCAAUCUCACUGUAUGAACGUCCACUUUGUAUGCUUUAACAUUGUAAUUUGGACAACUGUUUCUAAGAUGACAAUAUGUAAUCUAUUAACUAGUGAUUUCUUACUGUAUAUUUUUUUCUUGAAAUUCUGUAUUACUUGUAUCCUUUUACUGCUUUGUUUUUCUUUCUUUCUUUCUCUCUUUAAAUUAAAAAAAAAAAAAAAAGAGCAAACACCUAGGGUGAGGUGGCCCUGCAGGCGUUUGCAGCAGAGGCAGAAGUGUGCUUAUCUUUCAGUCUCUCUGGUGCAGCGGCCACACCGGAGGGUGGGGAAGUCAGCCCAGCCGUCUGAGAGGUGAUUUCCUCCCUGGCCUGGAGCCCUCCCAGCAGACACAACCUUGUCCCUUGCCGAAACCCAAGGUCCUGGCGAAAUACAGUGUUCUGUAGGUUUAUUUACUUACUCUUUUAUUUAUUUUUUUGGUCUUUGAGACAGGGCCUGGCUAUGCAGUGUUGGCCUCGAACUUGCAGCAAUCCUCCUGCUUCAGCCUCCCCAGUGCUGGUUUACAGCGUGCACUGCCACACCCUCCUGAAACUGGUGCUCCUUCUGCAGAUGAGGAAUUGGCUCGCAGUGCUUAGGUGACCGGCUGAAAGGCAGGUCACAUCCUCCUCAUGACCCUCCCAGCCGAGGUGGCCACAUGGCCAGGGUGGCAAUGAUCCUGGCUCUUGUCUGAUCUUGCAGUCCUUCAAAUGACCUUCCGGCCGUUUCUAGUACCUGGACGAAAACCCUUGCGGCUAAGAAUGUGCGUGUGUUUCAGUCUCGAUUUUCUUUAGAUUACAUCCUCAGCGGUAGAAUCACCGGGUCACAGGCUGUAUUCGCUUUUGCAGCUGUGCUAUUCAGAAGGAGAGCAGGGGACCAAAGGAGGCAGACGUGCCGAGAAAGUGAGUCACCCAAAGACAGGCAGGGCUCUUCCCGGAGCAGCGGGCCUGCUCCGGGAGCCCAGGGACACUCGGCUUGUGCACUGCGUGGCUGUGCCGUGCAGAGCUGCCGAUGCUAAACACUGGUUUUUCACUUCCCUUGAGUGAAAAAAAAAAUGUGCGUGCCUUGAUUGUCUCCUUCUGCUGAGCCAGUGCCAAAUUUUUCUAUGUGAAAAAAAUGUCAGCUGAAAUUCCGGUGCCGCCGAGGAAGGAGACCUUUAUUCCUCCACCUGCACAUUACGACGCUAAUAAACACGUUAUCAGCUCGUAAGGGUGAUGGCAAACAGGUGACUGAAGGACUCGGCAAGUCAGCAGUGAAGACGAACAGCUCUGCGCAGGGAAAGCCGUGCGGGCCCCACUUAAAACAAUCGCGGCAGGCGAAUUUGCAGCACUUAAAUCAUUUUCAGCAAUUAGUCCGCCUCAGAAAGGGUGCAGCUGGCUUCAAUUACAGCUCCCCUUCACCAACCCCUUCUGCCAUCUUGUUCCUGCCUUGGAGCAGCUGACCAUGAACUGAGCACUCUGAAGCCACAAGCCAAACGAAACCUCUCCUUUCAUCUGUAGGUUUUGUUCUGGCAACGAGAAAGUAACUAAGGCAAGAAGGCAGGGUGGCUACUGGAAGGCCUGGCUGUUACCACAUCUGGUCAGAAGCUGCUGAGUCACUGUGCUUAGACAGGAGAUGUACGGAGAGAAUCGUGUGCAUCUGGCCGCCCGCCUUUAGAUUUCUCCACCCAGUAGAAGCUUCUGGGCUUGGCCGGCGGACGUGCAGUUGGAAAGCUUUGGCUGGAGGUCCCGUAGGGGAAAAUCAGUACAGGUUUGCUUGUGUUCCUCUGUGCUCCUUGUCAGUGGCAAGUUUGGAUCCCUUUUGCACACCUGGUGCUGAUGGCAAUGGAAGAGGAAAGCAGGAAUUGAUUUGCUGAUGUGCAGCCUCAAAGUUGGAGCAGAUUUCAGGCUGGCCUCAAAUUCAUGGUGAUCCUCCUACUUCAGCCUCCGGAAUGCCAGGAUGGCAGGCAUGGACCACCACACCUGGCCAGCAGAGCACCCCAGAAUUCCUCUGAAUGAAAAGUAAGAGGCAUGGCCACCAGCAGCCCCCUGUGAACACAGAGGUUAAAGGUUAAGGACCUGCCUGAAGACUCCGUUCUGCCUUCCCCAGAUGGACAGCAUGGACUUGAGAUUUUCGUCUUCAACCUGAGAAGAAAGAGGGAUAUAAUUCAUCUCAAGACCAGGAAGAUCCCAGCACUCUUGGAGGCUGAGGCAGGAGGGUGGCAAGUUCGAGCCCAGGCUGGGCAACUUAGCAAGACCUUGUGUCAAAAUGAUGAUGAUAAUAAUAAUGAAGGAGGUAUAUAACUGGGCUGAAUCCCUAGUACUGCAAGAAACAAACCAAACCAAACCUGGGAAGAAAGCUGUGAGCAAAACUAUUUUCUUACUGUCUAUCUCCCUGCUAAUGUUUUUCUUUAACCAACUUAUAUUUUAAAGAGCUCGAAUCAAAAAGAAGACAAACAAAGAUCAAUAAAACCAAUGGACAGAAAACUCAUGAUUCAGUUCAUCAAGGGAGGCGGGCUAAACUGUCCUGCCUGAGUUCAGUGGCUGAGGAUGGCAAGGCCUUGUUUCCCACAAUGCUUCACUGCUGUGACCUCCUGAUACUCAUUGUGCGGACAGCCGAUUUGGUCAAAAGUAACUUUUUUCUUUCUCAUUAUCAAAAUGACCAGGGGCCCUUAGAGAGAACUGGAAAAGCUGGAUCACAAGGGAACAACAGUCACUCCCGCUUCUGGCAUUCAGCCACGCAUGACCCUUGCCUUUGAGCUCUUCUCCGUGUGUUUCUGUGCGUGUGUCAGGGUGAGACCAUCAUGGAGUGCACACACCAGGACUGCAGUGGCAGCACAGCUGGCUGCCUCCUGACGUCACAAUGCCUCACAGGACCCUCCAUGCUCACGUGCUCUGGGCCCUGUCCGAGCUGGGCGGUAUCACAGGAUUUGGAGUCCCUGUGAGAAGAGUCCUCUGCUUUCAGUCUCCCAAUCGGAAGGACCGGGAGCUUAACAGGGCUGGUGGUGACAGCCUGGAGCAGGUGAGCAGAGCAGAGCGAGGAGGUGAUGCCAGCUUCCAGCUUCUCCCAUCAGGCACCGGUGCUGCCUGACUCUUACCGGGGCCACUGGCCAGGCCCCUUCGCUUCCUGUCCCGUUCUAUCACUGUGGCUUGGUUUGGACUUAGAUGACUCAUGGCUCCCAAAGGCACCAGGCUUCUCCCAGUCGAUUUGGCCAUGCCAUGCUUUCCCUUCCCUCCAACCCUUGACUGCUCCCCACGGAUGCAGCUGUCACCACGGGAACCCCAGGCCCUGUCCAUCAGGUACUCUGUGACUUGGGAAAAGAUUAGCUCCUCAGAGCCUCCCUGGGCUGUUGUCAGCAGAGCAAGGAUUUUCUGUGAAGGAUGUAGGACACUGGCCUGGGGGAGACACUUGAGAUGACAGGUGGACCAGGCAUGGCGCCCACAUUUCCUCCACUGGACACACUUCCUUCUUCAUCUUCACCGUGGGCUAGAGCUGGGUGAGGUGUGGCUUAUAUCUUCUCAGGCUACCACUGCCACUGGGCUACUGAAGGACUGAGCUCAAAGCUGGGUCCCGGGCUCCAGGAUUUAGAUCCUGGAUGGGACCCAUUGUAAGCCUGCGAAAUCAGUGCUGACCAAUCUGGUGGGCACUCAGGAGCUUUCUCAAACAAGAUGGGUUAAAUCAAACAACAUUGAUAGUGUGCUUUUUAUGUUCUAUUAAUUUAUUUGCAUUGGUGCUGGGUUUUCAUUUUUUGAAAAAAAUGAAAGUUUAGUAUCAGGAAGAAAUAGGUGAAUAUAGAAGUUGCCAUUUCAUUACUUAGCACAAAGUGGUUUUCCUGGAAUACUUUGUUCUUUGGGCAGGGGGGACUGAGACCUUCAAAUAGCACAGGUAGGCCGGCCUGGUGGUGCUUGUUUAUAAUCCCAGCUCUCUGGGAGGCUGAGGCAGGAGGGUUCAAGUUCAAGCCCAACCUGGGCAAAUUAGUGGUUUAGCAAGACCCUGUCUCAAAAUGAAAAAUUAAAAAAGGGGUGGAGAUGUAACUCAGUGUGAAGACCCUGGGUUCAAUCCCCAGCACCACAAACAAACAAAUGAAGGGACAUAGGUCUUUGAGAGCCAACGCGAAGGACCUGGGGGCCUCUUUCUGGUGCUGCUGUUUGUGUGCAGGAGGCAGCGAGGCCUGGCUCAUCCUGCCAUGUGGGCCGUGUGCAGUGUGUUCUGCAGCCCUGCUCCCCGCUGGCGCCAGGCUGCAGCUGGGGUGUUCGGGUGACCUUCCUCCCACACCACCCCUUCGGGGUGACAGCCCGGGGGCUCAGGCCGCCCCCUCCCUUUGCGCUUUCCCAUAGGUGCUGCCGGUCUGCCAACUGUGGGGCUGCCUUGACGAGAAGCCAGCUUGCAUCGAGUGCUUGUGACAGAUUUCUUAAUUAAUCGCUCAGAUUGUCAAUAGUGGAGCUCACUGUUGAUUUAGAAACUAGUUAUGCAAGCACAGCUAGCGCCACUGUGGGAAAACAUCUGAAUAAUUCAGCUAAUAGAUGGGAACUUGCCCAGAUCGCGGGGACACAGGAAGGGAGCCGCCCUGCCACACGGGGUGCGCUAGGGUUGGGUGACGCCAGCGCGUUCUGGGCGUGCGGGGAGGUUGUGUAAGGAGCAGCAGCUGCCUAGAUGAAUUAUUAUCAUUUUGGUUUUUUGGGGAAAAAAGAAAAAAAGAACCUGGGUUCUGCACUCCCAGGCAGCGACCGCUGACUCAAUCUUGAAAGUGAGUGGGUUUCAGUGUGACACUCAUGUCAUUACCGACCAUGGUUCUGAGCUACACACCACGCACGUUUUAGUAGGUCUUAUUCUAGCCAUGAAGUAUUGAUUUUUAUUUUAAAGAACAUAACUAAGGUCAGGUGUGGUGGUGCUCACCUGCAAUCCCAGCACACAGGAGGCUGAGGCAGGAGGACUGCUGUGAGUUUGCUGCCACCCUGGGCUACAAAGUGAGCUCAAGGCCAGCCUGAACUGCACAGUGAGACUCUUCCUCAAAAAGAUACAAACAAACAAGCGAACAAAACGUCAAAUAACAUACAUAUUAUUUAUGCAUAUUACUAUGCAAUAUAUGAGUUUAGUAAUAAGUGCAUUGCAACAUUUCACAAAUGGCUUUUAGCCAGGAGUGGUAGUGCAUACCUGUAAUUCUAGUAAAAAAAAAAAAAAAUUCUAGCUGAGGCAGGAAGAUUGCUGCAAAUAUGAGACCAACCCAGGCUAUAUAGUGAGUUUAAGGUCAGCCUGAAAUUCAAACAAAGACCAAGCCUCAAAAAAGCAAAAAAAAAAAAAAAAAAAAAAAAAAAUUUCCUCUGGGAGAUUCCCAUUUGCUUGGGGUUCUGUGGAAUUGGCUAGCUGUGUCCUGAAAUGGUCCUUGUCACAUGGGAACCUGCAUCCAUCAUAAGAAAGUGGAGUUUAGUGAUCUCUGAAGCUGUGUGGAGAGACAGAAGCAUAAAGACUCACUCACGUUCAGCUUUAUACUUAACAUUCUGUUUUCAUCAAAAAUGAUAAAAUCCUAUGGAGUUGUGCCAGCCUACUAAGUUUUUUUGCUGCUAUGGUUAGAGUUCUAACAGCUCCUGAGAGCGGAUAACUCAGUGCCUGGAUGCUGAUGUGAGUCACGGAGCUGAGGAGGAAAUGCUUUUCUGCGUGCAUUUAUCUGCGGUCUCACACUUGUUCUGCUUCCGGCUUUUUCCUUCUGCGCUCUCCUGUAUCUCUACGUGCACGAGAGCUCAUGCAUACACAGGCUCACACACCCAUGUAUGCACACAUGAAGUGUGUAUGAUACAUGAUCACACAUGGGCGCAUGCCAUGUGCUCAUGUACACGUAUGUGUAUGCACACCCACAGGCAGUCGUACAUGUACACGUUUUCCCUUCUCAGCCACCUCUUCCAAAUGUCACGCCUGAGGACUUCAAGAGAGGGAAAAACCAGACCCACCCAGCCUGAUGCCUCCACUCUGCUUAGAAAACAAUGCCUCGGGUCUUAGCAAUGUAAGGGGUUGAGUUUUACACCUUAAGCCAGGGCAGGAAGCCUACAGGACAGGCAGGACUGCUGGAAACUUAGUGAGCAGAACUGCAGGGUAAUUUGUGAGUGAAGCAAUCAAAGAAUAACAAACAGGGCAUUGUUAUAUAAACCCUACGUCUGGGGGUCCGUGCUGGUCCCUGAAGAGAACUUGUGACAUUGGGAAGGAUGAGGUGUGGCUGCCACCCCAGGCCUCCUCAGGCUGGCAUAGCCCCAGUGGCUUCUGUGGUCACCCAUGCCUGGCCUCCUCUGCUGUCCCAGUGUGAUGGUGCUUGCCAAAACCCUGAAGUCCCUGCAUGACCGAGCUCUCUGUGGGCACCCCAGACAUCACAUCCGUAUUCCAGAAGGCAGAAAAGAGGAAGAGAAAAAGGAGGUCCUGCUCCUUCCCUUCUGCUUUCAUCAGGCAGCCUUUCUGGAAGUGUCCCUUGACACCCCACCCUGUGCCCACGCUGGGGACAGCCAGGGCUGUGUGGGCCACGCCUUGAGAAAGAGUGGCUGAUAGUGUGGACUUCUCAGCUGGACAUCAAGUUCUGGCCGAGAGAGGGUGGAGGUGGUUAUCUGAAGACAUCUCACUGGCUAUGUCCAGAACAAGUUCCUGCAAAGAGGAAGGAACCCAGUAGUUAGUAUAGCUUUCACAGAACCACAGAUAAAUACUUUCCCCUUUUACCACACAUUUUCAGUUGAGAAACAUCAGUGUUUUGUGAGAUCCUGCCUGAGUCCAGUGAUCUGGGAGCAGUGCCUGGAGGCGGGGGAUUUUCAGGUCCCAUCUUGGAGACAGGGUUGUCACCUGUUCCUGGUCACUGGUAGGCAUGGUGAUAGGCCCCUGAAUUUCCAAUGACACCAGUCAUUUGCUAACCCUUUUAUUGAAAAAAAUUCUCAGUCAUGUAUUCCCUGGGAAUCUGAUUUGUAAAUAAUUACUUGAUGGAAAAUGGAGCUGGCUGGAAAACUCUGAGUACCCAAGGCAGAGACAGACCCCAGAGAGGGGACUUUUGGCUCAGAGGCCAGCACUGGACGGUCCCCCUCAUGGUUUAUCAAGAGGAAGUGAGCCAUUAAUAAGGUCCCCAUUGAAGAAGCGAAGUCCCAGGUUUCAGAUGCAGCCACCACACAGGUGGUCAGCAUCCGAGCCCAGAGCAGCAUGCGAAG
Molecule: long non-coding RNA, 11022 nt
Organism: Cavia porcellus (domestic guinea pig)
Lineage: Eukaryota; Metazoa; Chordata; Mammalia; Rodentia; Caviidae
Exons: 9
Source: RefSeq, a predicted model, not a curated record